ACGCUCGACACCUACGGGAGGCAGCAGUGGGGAAUAUUGCACAAUGGGGGAAACCCUGAUGCAGCGACGCCGCGUGAGUGAAGAAGUAUUUCGGUAUGUAAAGCUCUAUCAGCAGGGAAGAAAAUGACGGUACCUGACUAAGAAGCCCCGGCUAACUACGUGCCCGCAGCCGCGGUAAUCUGAGCGGGCUGGCAAGGC
This 198-nucleotide ribosomal RNA is filed under the name uncultured bacterium. Its description in RNAcentral is "partial 16S ribosomal RNA". It matches the Rfam family "Bacterial small subunit ribosomal RNA", at positions 328 to 539 of the family's 1533-position model. The record is from RNAcentral.